GGAAAACUUACCAGGUCAAAACUAUGGCGGGAUUGACAGAUUGAUAGCUCUUUCUUGAUUCGUGGGGUGGUGGUGCAUGGCCGUUCUUAGUUGGUGGAGUGAUUUGUCUGGUUAAUUCCGUUAACGAACGAGACCUUAACCUACUAAAUAGUUUGCAAUCUCACCGAUUGCAAUUCUUCUUAGAGGGACUGGCGACUCUUAGUCGCACAAGAUUGAGCAAUAA
This 223-nucleotide ribosomal RNA is filed under the name uncultured eukaryote. Its description in RNAcentral is "partial 18S ribosomal RNA". It matches the Rfam family "Eukaryotic small subunit ribosomal RNA", at positions 1208 to 1456 of the family's 1831-position model. The record is from RNAcentral.